This 555-nucleotide ribosomal RNA is filed under the name Lebbeus groenlandicus. RNAcentral's name for it is "partial 12S ribosomal RNA". The stretch from base 196 to 555 matches the Rfam family "Microsporidia small subunit ribosomal RNA", at positions 752 to 1216 of the family's 1311-position model. The record is from RNAcentral. Lineage: Eukaryota; Metazoa; Arthropoda; Malacostraca; Decapoda; Hippolytidae.
UGAUUAGAUAAGAGGAGGUUUUAGGUGUGGGGUAAGGUGAUUGUUUAUUGAUUGAUGUGUUAUUUUAAAAAUAAAAAAGUGAAAUUUAAUAUUUGUAUAGAAUAGAGCAUUUCGUUUAACAUUGAAGCCCAUAAGAGAUAGGGUUAAAAUAGGAUUAGAUACCCUGCUAUACUAUUUUGAAAUUAAUAAGCUCCUGGGUAGUAAUAGUUACUGUCUUGAAACCCAAAGAACUUGGCGGUAUCACAUUCUUCUUAGAGGAACCUGCUUCAUAAACGAUAAUCCCCGAAAUACCUUACUUUUUUUUGUGUAUCAGUUUGUAUACCGCCAUUAUUAGAUUGUUUCGAGAGAAAACUAUUGGAAUUAUUUAUUGAAUGUAUAUAUUAGGUCAAGGUGCAGCUUAUAAAAAAGUGUAAGUGGGUUACAGUUAAUUAAGUUAUUGGCUAAAAGGGUGAAAUACUUUUAAAAAUUGGAUUUAAUUGUAAUAUUAUUUUAUUAAGGUAAUUUGAUUUUAGCUCUGUGAUAUGUACACAUCGCCCGUCGCUCUCAUCUUAAAAU